UGGGGAAUAUUGCACAAUGGGCGCAAGCCUGAUGCAGCCAUGCCGCGUGUGUGAAGAAGGCCUUCGGGUUGUAAAGCACUUUCAGCGAGGAGGAAGGGUAGUGUGUUAAUAGCACAUUGCAUUGACGUUACUCGCAGAAGAAGCACCGGCUAACUCCGUGCCAGCAGCCGCGGUAAUACGGAGGGUGCAAGCGUUAAUCGGAAUUACUGGGCGUAAAGCGCACGCAGGCUGUUUGUUAAGUCAGAUGUGAAAUCCCCGCGCUUAACGUGGGAACUGCAUUUGAAACUGGCAAGCUAGAGUCUUGUAGAGGGGGGUAGAAUUCCAGGUGUAGCGGUGAAAUGCGUAGAGAUCUGGAGGAAUACCGGUGGCGAAGGCGGCCCCCUGGACAAAGACUGACGCUCAGGUGCGAAAGCGUGGGGAGCAAACA
Molecule: ribosomal RNA, 427 nt
Filed under: uncultured bacterium
Lineage: Bacteria
Description: partial 16S ribosomal RNA
Rfam family: Bacterial small subunit ribosomal RNA
Source: RNAcentral